CUAAGCUUCCAAACCAAAAGAGGCAGAAGAAUCCAGAACAGUGAACCAGGCUCCAUGAACAUUGUCAGUUCCAGGCCUCCAAACUGAAUGGUCAGAGACUCCAGGAAGAAGCAGGAAUGGAGAUUGCCCUACAAGCCUUGCUGAUGCUCCUGUGUGUGAAGCUAACCUGGUCAAAUGGACAGCGUCCAGUGGAACAGAGCCCUCCUUCCCUGACAGUCCAGGAAGGCGAGAGCUUCACAAUAAACUGCACUUACAGAGACAGUACUCUGGAUUUCUUCCAAUGGUUUAGGCAGGAUCCCACGGAAGGCAUCCACACUCUGAUACAUAUUCGAUCAAAUGAGAAAGAGAAGAUCAGAGGAAGAUUUACAGUCACGUCUAACAAAGGGGACCAGCACUUUUCUCUGCACUUGAAAGAUUCGCUCCUCUAUGACUCAGCCACCUUCCUGUGUGCAGUGGAUAGAACAGAGCUUCUCAGACACCUGUGCCUUGCACCCAAACCCUGCUCAGCCCUGCACCAACUUCUACAAGGGCUCCAGGGCGCUGAACUUAACUUUGAGCAAACACGAGGGGCUUUUAAUAACCUGAUAUCAAAUAUUUCAUUUGAAGAUCUUGGGCAGAGGGAUAAUGUUUUCAAAUACCAUCUAAUGUAUUUUGUUUCUCAGUGUGAAGUCCUUACUCCAUUAAACCUAGUCCAAGAUCCUGAGGCUUAA
Molecule: non-coding RNA, 710 nt
Organism: Neofelis nebulosa (Clouded leopard)
Lineage: Eukaryota; Metazoa; Chordata; Mammalia; Carnivora; Felidae
Source: the annotation of a RefSeq genome assembly